This 253-nucleotide ribosomal RNA is filed under the name uncultured bacterium. Its description in RNAcentral is "partial 16S ribosomal RNA". It matches the Rfam family "Bacterial small subunit ribosomal RNA", at positions 524 to 776 of the family's 1533-position model. The record is from RNAcentral.
UACGUAGGGUGCGAGCGUUGUCCGGAAUUAUUGGGCGUAAAGAGCUUGUAGGCGGUCUGUCGCGUCUGCUGUGAAAAUCCGGGGCUCAACUCCGGAUCUGCGGUGGGUACGGGCAGACUAGAGUGAUGUAGGGGAGACUGGAAUUCCUGGUGUAGCGGUGAAAUGCGCAGAUAUCAGGAGGAACACCGGUGGCGAAGGCGGUUCUCUGGGCCUGUACUGACGCUGAGGAACGAAAGCGUGGGGAGCGAACAGG